RNAcentral lists this ribosomal RNA (353 nucleotides) under uncultured bacterium. RNAcentral describes it as "bacterial SSU rRNA". It matches the Rfam family "Bacterial small subunit ribosomal RNA", at positions 8 to 350 of the family's 1533-position model. The record is from RNAcentral.
AGAGUUUGAUCAUGGCUCAGGAUGAACGCUAGCUACAGGCUUAACACAUGCAAGUCGAGGGGAAACGACAUCGAAAGCUUGCUUUUGAUGGGCGUCGACCGGCGCACGGGUGAGUAACGCGUAUCCAACCUGCCCAUCACUUGGGGAUAACCUUGCGAAAGUAAGACUAAUACCCAAUGAUAUCUCUAGAAGGCAUCUGAAAGAGAUUAAAGAUUUAUCGGUGAUGGAUGGGGAUGCGUCUGAUUAGCUUGCUGGCGGGGUAACGGCCACCAAAGCAACGAUCAGUAGGGGUUCUGAGAGGAACGGUCCCCACAUUGGAACUGAGACACGGUCCAAACUCCGUACGGGAGGCA